GGGUAGGUACCCAAGUGGCCAAAGGGGGCAGACUGUAAAUCUGCUGGCGAAUGCCUUCGGGGGUUCGAAUCCUCCCCUGCCCA
RNAcentral lists this transfer RNA (83 nucleotides) under candidate division TA06 bacterium B3_TA06. RNAcentral describes it as "tRNA-Tyr". It matches the Rfam family "tRNA". Rfam says of the family: Transfer RNA (tRNA) molecules are approximately 80 nucleotides in length. Their secondary structure includes four short double-helical elements and three loops (D, anti-codon, and T loops). RNAcentral also lists the same sequence under 3 other names. The record is from RNAcentral.